GAAAUGCGAUAAGUAGUGUGAAUUGCAGAAUUCAGUGAAUCAUCGAAUCUUUGAACGCACAUUGCGCCCCUUGGUAUUCCAUGGGGCAUGCCUGUUCGAGCGUCAUUUGUACCCUCAAGCUCUGCUUGGGGUUGGGUGUUUGUCCCGUCUCCGCGCGUGGACUCGCCCCAAAGUGAUUGGCAGCCGGCGUACUGGUCCCGGAGCGCAGCACAUGUCGCGCAAACGAGUGCCUUGGUACGGCGGCGUCCAUAAGCCCCUCUCUCACGCUCUUGACCUCGGAUCAGGUGGGGAUACCCGCUGAACUUAAGC
This 309-nucleotide unclassified non-coding RNA is filed under the name plant metagenome. Its description in RNAcentral is "partial contains 5.8S ribosomal RNA, internal transcribed spacer 2, and large subunit ribosomal RNA". The stretch from base 1 to 105 matches the Rfam family "5.8S ribosomal RNA", at positions 50 to 154 of the family's 154-position model. The record is from RNAcentral.